Molecule: transfer RNA, 64 nt
Filed under: Macrophthalmus darwinensis
Lineage: Eukaryota; Metazoa; Arthropoda; Malacostraca; Decapoda; Macrophthalmidae
Description: tRNA-Arg
Source: RNAcentral
AAUUAGAAAGCGAAUAAUUGCAUUUAGUUUCGACCUAAACCUUAGGCUUCUAGCCUUCUAAUUU